UGGUAGAUGCACCCUGAUAAUCCAUUCCCCUUGCUGGCUCAAACUGGCCCGGGGAUUUUUUU
This is a small RNA of Mastigocoleus testarum BC008, 62 nucleotides long. It matches the Rfam family "Nitrogen stress-induced RNA 1". NCBI's taxonomy places the organism in Bacteria, Bacillati, Cyanobacteriota, Cyanophyceae, Nostocales, Hapalosiphonaceae. The record is from Rfam.